This 253-nucleotide ribosomal RNA is filed under the name uncultured bacterium. RNAcentral describes it as "partial 16S ribosomal RNA". It matches the Rfam family "Bacterial small subunit ribosomal RNA", at positions 524 to 776 of the family's 1533-position model. The record is from RNAcentral.
UACGAAGGGGGCUAGCGUUGCUCGGAAUGACUGGGCGUAAAGGGCGCGUAGGCGGCGCACUCAGUCCGGCGUGAAAGCCCUGGGCUCAACCUGGGGACUGCGCUGGAGACGGGUGUGCUCGAGGGUGGAAGAGGCUCGCGGAAUUCCCAGUGUAGAGGUGAAAUUCGUAGAUAUUGGGAAGAACACCGGUGGCGAAGGCGGCGAGCUGGUCCAUCACUGACGCUGAGGCGCGACAGCGUGGGGAGCAAACAGG